CAGCAGCCGCGGUAAUACGUAGGUGGCAAGCGUUGUCCGGGAUUAUUGGGCGUAAAGGGCUCGCAGGCGGUUUCUUAAGUCUGAUGUGAAAGCCCCCGGCUCAACCGGGGAGGGUCAUUGGAAACUGGGGAACUUGAGUGCAGAAGAGGAGAGUGGAAUUCCACGUGUAGCGGUGAAAUGCGUAGAGAUGUGGAGGAACACCAGUGGCGAAGGCGACUCUCUGGUCUGUAACUGACGCCGAGGAGCGAAAGCGUGGGGAGCGAACAGGAUUAGAUACCCCCGUAGUCCCUGUCUCUUAUAC
RNAcentral lists this ribosomal RNA (301 nucleotides) under uncultured bacterium. RNAcentral's name for it is "partial 16S ribosomal RNA". It matches the Rfam family "Bacterial small subunit ribosomal RNA", at positions 509 to 807 of the family's 1533-position model. The record is from RNAcentral.